This 331-nucleotide ribosomal RNA is filed under the name uncultured bacterium. RNAcentral describes it as "bacterial SSU rRNA". It matches the Rfam family "Bacterial small subunit ribosomal RNA", at positions 568 to 898 of the family's 1533-position model. The record is from RNAcentral.
CGCGUAGGCGGUUUGGACAGUCAGGCGUGAAAUUCCCGGGCUUAACCUGGGGGCUGCGCUUGAUACAUCCAGGCUUGAGUGAGGAAGAGGGUCGUGGAAUUCCCAGUGUAGAGGUGAAAUUCGUAGAUAUUGGGAAGAACACCGGUGGCGAAGGCGGCGACCUGGUCCUUUACUGACGCUGAGGCGCGAAAGCGUGGGGAGCAAACAGGAUUAGAUACCCUGGUAGUCCACGCUGUAAACGAUGUGUGCUGGAUGUUGGGUGACCUAGUCACUCAGUGUCGUAGCUAACGCGGUAAGCACACCGCCUGGGGAGUACGGCCGCAAGGUUGAA